This 433-nucleotide ribosomal RNA is filed under the name uncultured bacterium. Its description in RNAcentral is "partial 16S ribosomal RNA". It matches the Rfam family "Bacterial small subunit ribosomal RNA", at positions 29 to 507 of the family's 1533-position model. The record is from RNAcentral.
AACGAACGCUGGCGGCAGGCCUAACACAUGCAAGUCGAGCGAGGACUUCGGUCCUAGCGGCGGACGGGUGAGUAACGCGUGGGAACGUGCCCUUUGCUUCGGAAUAGCCCUGGGAAACUGGGGGUAAUACCGGAUGAGCCCUUUGGGGGAAAGAUUUAUCGGCGAAGGAUCGGCCCGCGUUGGAUUAGGUAGUUGGUGGGGUAAUGGCCUACCAAGCCGACGAUCCAUAGCUGGUUUGAGAGGAUGAUCAGCCACACUGGGACUGAGACACGGCCCAGACUCCUACGGGAGGCAGCAGUGGGGAAUCUUAGACAAUGGGGGAAACCCUGAUCUAGCCAUGCCGCGUGAGCGAUGAAGGCCUUAGGGUUGUAAAGCUCUUUCAGCUGGGAAGAUAAUGACGGUACCAGCAGAAGAAGCCCCGGCUAACUCCGUG